UAAUCAGAGGGAAGUAAGCGAAAAAUAGUGGCAUUGAAUUCAUCAGAAGAUACAGGUGUGCCAGCUGCAGCAAGCUCGUCAGCAAUAGCUUUAGCUUCGCGAAGAAAUUGAGCCAGUGGUUUGUCACCAAGAGUCAUGUUUUGCAAGGUGAUGUGUAAUUGGACUCUUCUAGCACUGUUGCUUAUGCCAAAUGUAUUUGAAAAAGCCAUCCAAGCUUCAAAGGCAGUAUCUAAACCAGUCACAUAAGGAAAAAUUUCCACAGUUAAAGAUGAUAAGAUCCAACUUAGUAAGAGUUGGUCUUCUUGUAACCACUCUAGAUAAUCAGAAUUUGGUCCUAAUUGAUUUGUUGUGGCAUUAAUUAUGGUGGAAGGAGGUGUCGGUGUACCAUUGAUAUGAUUGAAUAGAUUAUAACAUUUGAUGAUAGGAACAAAUUGAGUUUUCCAAGUCAGGUAGUUUAUUGGUUUAAGUCUUAUGGAAAAAGAAAGUUGAGCAUGAGGUAAAGUAGCAAAAAGACUUGGAGUGGUUUAUGUCGUUGAUGCUGUAGAGGUGGAAUUUGAAUGUUGAGAAGAAGUUGAUUCCAUGGUAGGCUCUGGUACCAUGUUAUAAGAUGAGAUAAUUGAGAGAAUUCUGUGUGUUUUCUAUUGAAUAGGAUAACUGAAUAUAUACACGGUUGUUUAUAACAAACUGCAAAAGAAUAGGGAGAUAUAGCUAACGUAUAACACUAACCCAUGUAUCCUAAAAUAUAGCUAAUUGAACUUAUCUAUCCUACUUUAUCUCUAACAGGGAAUAACAUUACUUGUCUGUUCCCGAUUGUUUUGGUCAAAGAGGCAUUCACUACGUUUAUAACAGUGGGACUACCUUCAAUAAGAUGAAACUUUUAUGAAAAGCAAGAAAACUUCAAAUAUUUGACUUUGGAGGGGGUUUGCUGGAGGAGAUUUUUUUGUCUCGUCCUUUAAAUAAAAUGGUUAACAGAUAUACAAGCAUUACCAAAAGUAAAAAAUCUAGCUAAACAUUAACAUACACUGAACAUUUUAAUGUAAUAGGUCAAAUGAUUAUGUCUUAUGUAAGUCUAACAUGAGCGACGAUGAGGUAAAGUGCUGAUAUUAUUACCUUUUCCAAUGCCUUUUGCACCCCAAAUUUCUGAGUUGAUAUAAAUGAAUUCAGAUAAACGCGAAUUGCCAGUGUUUUUCAACCAAUUUAUGGAAUUCGACAAAAGUAGAGAGAACCUCAUUUUUUUGUUUAAUUGGAAAUAACCAACAAUAACGAGAAAAGUCAUCCACAAAUAGAACAAAAUACUCUCCAUAAAAGGAUAAGUUGGGAGCUGGACCCCAUACAUCUCCAUGAAUCAAUUCCAAUUGUUUACUAGCAAUAGAACCAGUGAUAGGUAAAGAAAUCUGACAAUGUUUGCCUAAACAACAAACUUCACAGAGGCUUGAUGAUUUUAUUGAAUUACUAGGCAAACAAAACUUAUUAACAAUAAAGGAGACAGUUGAUUGUUGAGGAUGAUCAAGCCGAGCAUGCCAAUCAGGUGCAGCAGUCCGAACGAAUUUAAAAACCUUGGUCUGGCCUGUAAGGUCAUUGGAUGCAACAAUAAGAAGCCUAUAAACACCGUCAAAAGCUGGUCCCUUCAACAAAACCUGUUUAUUUGUCUAAUUCUUCACACUAAACCCAUCAGAGUCAAAUUUAAGGAAGUAGUGAUUGUCUUUGGCAAAUUUAUUAACAGACAAUAAUUGUUGUUGUAGGGCAGGCACAUGUAAAACAUUUUUCAAAUGAAACUGACUAUUACUAGAAGAUAGGGUAGUGUGACUAAUGUUUUUAAUAUGCAAACCAUGUCCAUUACCUAUAGUGACCACCCUUUGUACUCCUCUGAGAUUUCAAGUGCAGACAAAUCAGGAGUCAUGUGAUGAGAAGCAGCAGUGUCAAGAAACCAAUCAUUGGAAGAAACAUUUACUUUUGUGGCAUUGGCUGUGAUAUUAUCACGAUUAUAACGCUUGCGACACCACUUAGCUUGAUGAUUGUUGAGUCCACAGAUCUGACAAGGAGUAGGAAACCACUUUUUGUUUCCAGUUGAGGACGCACCAUUAUUUUUGUAACCAUUGUUUGCCUGGAGGCUCUGAUUAGAUGAAGUGUGUUGUCGAGCAACAUUGGCAACAACAGAGAUUGGUUUGCCAGAGUUCUGCAAGAGGAUCGGAAAAUGAUACCUGUGACAGGAUGAUAAUCAGAGGGAAGUAAGCGAAAAAUAGUGGCAUUGAAUUCAUCAGAAGAUACAGGUGUGCCAGCUGCAGCAAGCUCGUCAGCAAUAGCUUUAGCUUCGCGAAGAAAUUGAGCCAGUGGUUUGUCACCAAGAGUCAUGUUUUGCAAGGUGAUGUGUAAUUGGACUCUUCUAGCACUGUUGCUUAUGCCAAAUGUAUUUGAAAAAGCCAUCCAAGCUUCAAAGGCAGUAUCUAAACCAGUCACAUAAGGAAAAAUUUCCACAGUUAAAGAUGAUAAGAUCCAACUUAGUAAGAGUUG
RNAcentral lists this long non-coding RNA (2511 nucleotides) under Capsicum annuum. RNAcentral describes it as "long non-coding RNA (CANN_LNC006951)". Lineage: Eukaryota; Viridiplantae; Streptophyta; Magnoliopsida; Solanales; Solanaceae. The record is from RNAcentral.